UGGGGAAUUUUGCACAAUGGGGGAAACCCUGAUGCAGCGACGCCGCGUGAUUUAGAAGGCCUUCGGGUUGUAAAAAUCUUUUGUAUGGGAAGAAAAUGACAGUACCAUACGAAUAAGGACCGGCUAAUUACGUGCCAGCAGCCGCGGUAAUACGUAAGGUCCGAGCGUUGCCCGGAAUCAUUGGGCGUAAAGGGUACGUAGGCGGAUAAGCAAGUUAGAAGUGAAAUCCUAUAGCUCAACUAUAGUAAGCUUUUAAAACUGCUCAUCUUGAGGUAUGGAAGGGAAAGUGGAAUUCCUAGUGUAGCGGUGAAAUGCGCAGAUAUUAGGAGGAAUACCGGUGGCGAAGGCGACUUUCUGGCCAUAUACUGACGCUGAGGUACGAAAGCGUGGGUAGCAAACAGG
Molecule: ribosomal RNA, 402 nt
Filed under: Verrucomicrobiota bacterium
Lineage: Bacteria; Pseudomonadati; Verrucomicrobiota
Description: Verrucomicrobia bacterium partial 16S ribosomal RNA
Rfam family: Bacterial small subunit ribosomal RNA
Source: RNAcentral